UACGAAGGGGACUAGCGUUGUUCGGAAUUACUGGGCGUAAAGCGCACGUAGGCGGAUUUGUAAGUCAGGGGUGAAAUCCCGGGGCUCAACCUCGGAACUGCCUUUGAUACUGCAAAUCUCGAGUCCGAUAGAGGUGGGUGGAAUUCCUAGUGUAGAGGUGAAAUUCGUAGAUAUUAGGAAGAACACCGGUGGCGAAGGCGAGUCCCUGGACAACUCCUGACACUGAUGCACGAAAGCUAGGGGAGCAAACAGG
Molecule: ribosomal RNA, 253 nt
Filed under: uncultured bacterium
Lineage: Bacteria
Description: partial 16S ribosomal RNA
Rfam family: Bacterial small subunit ribosomal RNA
Source: RNAcentral